GCCAGUGCUAUGAAUGUCAAUUUUAUAGAUACUUGGCGU
Molecule: non-coding RNA, 39 nt
Filed under: Spodoptera frugiperda (fall armyworm)
Lineage: Eukaryota; Metazoa; Arthropoda; Insecta; Lepidoptera; Noctuidae
Source: RNAcentral